Long non-coding RNA from Cyprinus carpio carpio, 2048 nucleotides. The record is from Ensembl. Lineage: Eukaryota; Metazoa; Chordata; Actinopteri; Cypriniformes; Cyprinidae.
GUGAUUUUCUGAGGAUGCCCAUUUAUUGAAUUUCUCAGGUAGCAGCAACAUGCAAUGAUAAAAAAAAAAAAAAUAUUUGCUGGAGUAUGUAACAGUCCUCCAAAGAGGAAAUGUGUGUGUGUGUGUGUGUGUGUGUGUGUGUGUGUGUGUGUGUGUGUGUGUGUGUGUGUGUGUGUGUGUGUGUGUGUGUGUAAGAGAAAGAGAGAGUCAUCGGUACAAUUCAAUAGAGCAGCCGAUAACAGCUCAUCUCUGCCCUAUAAUACUCUCUCUCUCUCUCUCUCUCUCUCUCUCUCUCUCUCUCUCUCUCUCUCGCUGGGGAUGAGUGUGGACAAUAGUCUCAGCAGUGGCCCCUGAUUGCCUCUUUUCACAUGUUAAUGAGCAUCUCUGCGUUCCUCCUCUUUCUCAAAUCUCCACAAAUUAUACAGCAAACACAGAAAAGGAAAAUCCUACGGCUUUUUUUAUUCAACAAACUGACAUGUAAAUGCAAGUGUAAGUGUUGUCCUCCGCUGCUCUGAUCGGCAGCUAAUUGUAGCCGUCAAUUGUAUAAGAUGCUCUUUUACUUCAACACAAGCCCGGAUCAAACACAAUCAACUCUCCCGCCUGGUUAAGAGAGAGAGAGAGAGAGAGAGAGAGGGAUACGGCGAUGUUCGUUGUCACGGUGAUGACUGUGUUUAUUCGCAUCACACGUUUGAAUAUAAAUAUUUGUUGAUUUGCUCAUCAUUGACAGAGAUCUGAACGCUGUCGAGGAUCUGUGUUUUGAAGCGCUGCUGUCUGUCUGAAUGUGACCGAAGAGAAAGACAGACAGACACCACACACAUAUACACACAUCAACAUUGUAUUUCAUUUAGAGCUGAUAGUACUUCAUCAAAUAUCAAGUACACAAAUAUUUACUCAGAUUCAAAUUUAUUCAGCAUUUAUGCAAAUAUAGGACGUGGCAUCCAAUCGGUUUCAUGCUGUUAUAUUGUGUAUUAUUGAAUGACUGAUGAGUAAUUGACCAAUCAGCAUCCAGGAGUCUGUUUUAUAAUGCACUUUUAUAUUGUUUACUUAUCACACAUCAUGACAUUUGACAUUGCAUUUGAUAGUGAAUCAAUUAUUUUAUCUAAUGUAAAGCCAUAUGCUCUUCCUCACAGCAGAUUUUAAAAUAGAAACAGAAAAAUGUGAAGAAUCACUCACUCACACACGUACACAAACACGCGGCGUCUCUGAUCCGGCGCACUUCCACAAGAGGGCCGAAUCCUGCAGGAGAAAGUCACGUUUUAUUGCAUAGGAUAAAUUAAAUUUCACACCCCUGUGAAGUUUAUAGAGUACAUAGAGGCAGAUUUUUACAAGAUUCAUAUGCAAAUGUGUGUCGAGAUUAGAGAUACAGCAAUUAUUCCAGUUCAUGAUAAAUUAUUCAUUUAACAACCGUCAAUUAUUAAUUCCACAGAAACAAUAAGCCGUGUUUCUGUAGGCAGAGUUUCCAAUUUUAACAGACCUUUACCUUUCUCUCUCUCGCUGUCUGUGAAGUCUGUUAAUGUCAGAAUUAAUUGUGAAUGUUUUCCAUUUCCUUCUCUGUCUCAAAAAGCCAGAGCAUCAAAAUAGUUAAAAAAAUAUGUCGUCGCACUGCUACUUUUACUUCACUGGAGACCUGACCUCUUUACCGAGAGAUGCUCAGAAUCAUGGCUCUCUUCGCCGAGCGUCUCUCGUUCGAUGUGUGCAAAUGAAGAGAGUCUGCUAAUAAUCAGAUCACUGGUGUUCAGAGUCCUUCCUCUGCACAGAGCAAGUGCUACAUGUGAAAAUCAAUAGCUAUUUGAUGCAUACGGCAUCUGUAGCUGCGCAGUCAGUAGCCCAGCAUGCUGUUAUAUACAGUAGACUGAAGCCGUAUGAGCGCAGGAGCCUGCGGCUACAGCACAACAACUCAGCUCAUAUGUUUGAGAGACUUUGAAAUCACUCUCUCUGCUAACUCUGCACUAUAAUUGUCCAUCAAUCUGCCAUGCUUCUCCUUUUCUUUUCUUUUGUCUGUGCGUGUGAGAUACGCUCACCAUGUACAGCUGUCAUUCACAUUAAAA